RNAcentral lists this ribosomal RNA (435 nucleotides) under uncultured Oscillospiraceae bacterium. Its description in RNAcentral is "partial 16S ribosomal RNA". It matches the Rfam family "Bacterial small subunit ribosomal RNA", at positions 341 to 792 of the family's 1533-position model. The record is from RNAcentral. Lineage: Bacteria; Bacillati; Bacillota; Clostridia; Eubacteriales; Oscillospiraceae.
ACGGAAGGCAGCAGUCGGGAAUAUUGCGCAAUGGAGGAAACUCUGACGCAGUGACGCCGCGUAUAGGACGAAGGUCUUCGGAUUGUAAACUAUUGUCGUUAGGGAAGAGAAAGGACAGUACCUAAGGAGGAAGCUCCGGCUAACUACGUGCCAGCAGCCGCGGUAAUACGUAGGGAGCGAGCGUUAUCCGGAUUUAUUGGGUGUAAAGGGUGCGUAGACGGGUUAUUAAGUUAGUUGUGAAAUCCCUCGGCUCAACUGAGGAACCGCAACUAAAACUGGUAAUCUUGAGUGUUGGAGAGGAAAGCGGAAUUCCUAGUUUAGCGGUGAAAUGCGUAGAUAUUAGGAGGAACCCCAGUGGCGAAGUCGGCUUUCUGGACAAUAACUGACGUUGAGGCACGAACGUGUGGUGCGCAAACAGGAUUAGAUACCCUGGUA